RNAcentral lists this long non-coding RNA (338 nucleotides) under Populus tremula. Its description in RNAcentral is "long non-coding RNA (PTRE_LNC001014)". The record is from RNAcentral. Lineage: Eukaryota; Viridiplantae; Streptophyta; Magnoliopsida; Malpighiales; Salicaceae.
UCCUUUCAUAAAGUGCCUUAGCAUGGAAAUAAGAAUGGUUCUUGAAUAAAUAUAUGAGGUGAUUCUCCUCCCCUUAGCAAUAGUUACUUGAUGAACCUCUAACUUCUUCUCAAAAUCUUCUAAUAUCAAGUCAAUACAAUGGGCAGCACAUGGUGUCCAAAACAAACUCUUUCUUUUUCCCAUUAAUAAUUGUCCCGCUGCCUUAUAAUUUGUAGCAUUAUCGGUGACUACUUGGACAACAUUUUCCUCCCCAAUCCUCUCCACAAUGGCAUCUAACAUCUCAAAUACCUUAUCAGCAGUCUUGGACAUAUUAGAAGUAUCCACCGAUGAUAAAAAAA